CAGUAUAUAUACAAACAAACACAUAAGUAUUGUUUUAGUAUUUUUGUAUUUGUUUUACUUAUGUGAUGGUAAAGUAAGUAAGACUGAGCUGCUUUGCAUUGUCACAGCGUUAGCUGUUUUUAUUAUAAACAAUAUAGGUUUAUUUGGGAACAUUCUUGCCAGAAUGAGAUGUUUUUGUUUUUAAAACUUUAUUUGAUGCAGAAAUGAUCCCAUAGACACUAACGUUACUGCUUUCUGGCUUGAGGCCAGUUGGUUUUAGGCACCCUUGGUGGAAAAGGGGUGUCUCUGGCCUGGAUCAGUUUAAAUCUAAUGUACUUCUACAAGUCUCAGCUGUGAGCAAGAAAAAUUGCCCAGGGGAGAGAGAGAAAGCCCUUGAGGGUUUGUUAGAGGCCACAUGUUAUAUGAGUGGAUAAAUGGAGUGGUGUGUUUCUAAUCCAUGAGUCAAACAUCAGUCUGCUGAAUAAUGCAUUUAGAUAUGCUAUAAGAACGAAAAAAAGAAAGAGGCUGAACAGAAGAGAAAAGCAACAACAAAUGAGACCCAAAAAUAUGUUUAUCGUUUGUAACAUGCUUCGAAUUAUCUAGCCUGAUGAAUACUACAUAAACAUCCUCUUAUCAUAUGAACAGAAGAGCCCUUAUUUUCAACGUUCUUACAGAGUCAUUGUUUACUUAGCCUUAAUGACUACAGUCAUGUCCAACACACCCCUCCAUUCCUUGAAUCACAAACUAGAUGCCCUUGAAACAAAGAGAUACACAUUCCAGAAUAAUAUACCCGUGAGUAAUCACAAAAAUUUUGCCAUGGGCUCAUGGACUCCCUGAUGUUUCAGUGCAUUAUGGGGGUUCAACAGCAUCAGAGGUUGUUAUGAGAGUCAGAGCAGAACAAAUAGCCUUCCUAAUGCUAAAGUUAGAAAUACAAUGUGUUUUUCACAUUAAAUAUAUAUAUAUAUGUAUUUUUCCUCAUCUCUUUUUAGCAAAGUGGAGACCAUCAGUGGAGCCAAGAGAGGACCUGGGUGAGGGGGAAUUGGAUUUUGCAGUUGCCGGGCCCUCAUGCUUUUUGAUGCCAAGAAAAGCAACCCAGCUGAACAAAUCAGGAACAUGCCCCCAAAGCUGCAGGGUUCCCCACGGAGACAACCUUUACGCCGCUGAAGUCAGAGGUCGUCCGUUCCAGAGGGAAACAGUGGCGACACCCCAGUGCCUGAGGAGACAGAGGCGGUCAGUAGACUAAUGGGGUCUGACUUCAUCAUUAAGAAGUUAUGAGGACUUGCAUGACGAUGGUGUGAAGAUGGCUCUAAUAGAAUCCAUCUGUGGAGUCCGCCAGGACUAUAAAGAGCUCUAAUAAGAUCAGCCUUGGGAUGAGACUGUUGUUAUCUCAACGGCUGCAAUUUUCCCCCUGCAGACACCUUCAUCAGCCACACCAUCAUGAAGGAAGAUCUGUGUUUUCUUUUGUUGCUUGUUCUGUAGUUUUCUCAUGCUACUUUUGAUUCUCGCUUUCUUUCACCUUAUUUAUCCACUCCUUUCUCUCUUUGUUUGGGAGUAUUUGAGUGGUUCUCUAUCUUGUAACGAUGCCUCCAAAUGUUUCUAAUAAAACUAGUUUCAGGGUGGAGUAUUGUUGGCA
Long non-coding RNA from Cyprinus carpio (common carp), 1612 nucleotides. Lineage: Eukaryota; Metazoa; Chordata; Actinopteri; Cypriniformes; Cyprinidae. The record is from Ensembl.